GCCCUCGACUGAGAUAGCUCAGUCAGUAGAGCAUGAGACACUUAAUCUCAGGGUUGCGGGUUUGAGCCUCAUGUUGGCAAUGAGGGUU
Podarcis lilfordi (Lilford's wall lizard) is the source of this 88-nucleotide non-coding RNA. The record is from the annotation of a GenBank genome assembly. NCBI's taxonomy places the organism in Eukaryota, Metazoa, Chordata, Lepidosauria, Squamata, Lacertidae.